UGGACAUAUGCAUCAAUUUUGAAUUUAUGUUUGCGUUCUACAAUUGUUUUUCUGUGUUGUGGUUCUUAUCCAUCUCGUCGUUUCUUUUGUUCGAGUUGGCGUCUAUUCCUUGUUCUUUUUCUUUCGCAUUGUAGUUUUUUCGGUUUUUUCCGCUACUUGUAUCAUUCUGUAACCAUCUCUUAGAAACGAAAAUGGUAUAAGAUUAAUACCAAAAAGAACUUUGGACCUAGGGCCUCAUGAC
This 241-nucleotide small RNA is filed under the name Arabidopsis thaliana (thale cress). RNAcentral's name for it is "ATSL147970". The record is from RNAcentral. Lineage: Eukaryota; Viridiplantae; Streptophyta; Magnoliopsida; Brassicales; Brassicaceae.